AGCGCAGGCGGUCUUUUAAGUCUGAUGUGAAAGCCUUCGGCUUAACCGGAGAAGUGCAUCGGAAACUGGGAGACUUGAGUGCAGAAGAGGACAGUGGAACUCCAUGUGUAGCGGUGAGAUGCGUAGAUAUAUGGAAGAACACCAGUGGCGAAGGCGGCUGUCUGGUCUGUAACUGACGCUGAGGCUCGAAAGCAUGGGUAGCGAACA
This 207-nucleotide ribosomal RNA is filed under the name uncultured bacterium. Its description in RNAcentral is "partial 16S ribosomal RNA". It matches the Rfam family "Bacterial small subunit ribosomal RNA", at positions 568 to 774 of the family's 1533-position model. The record is from RNAcentral.